This 75-nucleotide transfer RNA is filed under the name Streptomyces phage Yaboi. RNAcentral describes it as "tRNA-Arg". It matches the Rfam family "tRNA". Rfam says of the family: Transfer RNA (tRNA) molecules are approximately 80 nucleotides in length. Their secondary structure includes four short double-helical elements and three loops (D, anti-codon, and T loops). Further hydrogen bonds mediate the characteristic L-shaped molecular structure. tRNAs have two regions of fundamental functional importance: the anti-codon, which is responsible for specific mRNA codon recognition, and the 3' end, to which the tRNAs corresponding amino acid is attached (by aminoacyl-tRNA synthetases). tRNAs cope with the degeneracy of the genetic code in two manners: having more than one tRNA (with a specific anti-codon) for a particular amino acid; and 'wobble' base-pairing, i.e. permitting non-standard base-pairing at the 3rd anti-codon position. RNAcentral also lists the same sequence under 5 other names. The record is from RNAcentral. Lineage: Duplodnaviria; Heunggongvirae; Uroviricota; Caudoviricetes; Stanwilliamsviridae.
CUCUCUGUAGCUCAAUCGGACAGAGCGUCUGACUACGAAUCAGGAGGCUGGAGGUUCGAAUCCUCUCAGAGAGAC